GAUGAACGCUGGCGGCGUGCCUAAUACAUGCAAGUCGAGCGAACAGAUGAGGAGCUUGCUCCUCUGACGUUAGCGGCGGACGGGUGAGUAACACGUGGAUAACCUACCUAUAAGACUGGGAUAACUUCGGGAAACCGGAGCUAAUACCGGAUAAUAUAUUGACCCUCAUGGUUCAAUAGUGAAAUACGGUUUUUGUGUCACUUAUAGAUGGAUCCGCGCCGCAUUGUCUAGUUGGUAAGGUAACGGCUUACCAAGGCAACGAUGCGUAGCCGACCUGAGAGGGUGGUCGGCCACACGGGAACUGAGACACGGUCCAGACUCCUACGGGAGGCAGCAGUAGGGACUCUUCCGCAAUGGGCGAAAGCCUAACGUAGCAACGCCGCGUGAGGGAUGAAGGUCUUCGGAUCGUAAAACUAUGUUAUUAGGGAAGAACAAAUGUGUAAGUAACUAUGCACGUCUUGACGGUACCUAAUCAAAAAGCCACGGCUAACUACGUG
Molecule: ribosomal RNA, 497 nt
Filed under: uncultured bacterium
Lineage: Bacteria
Description: partial 16S ribosomal RNA
Rfam family: Bacterial small subunit ribosomal RNA
Source: RNAcentral